Long non-coding RNA from Schistocerca gregaria, 1077 nucleotides. RefSeq lists it as uncharacterized. Lineage: Eukaryota; Metazoa; Arthropoda; Insecta; Orthoptera; Acrididae. The record is from RefSeq and is a predicted model, not a curated record. The transcript is spliced from 3 exons.
UGUUAAAACAAACUCCCAAAGCUCUGAAUUUCCAUAAAAUAGAAACAGAACUAAAAUGUUAAAUUUUCGAUUGGUUACUUACCUUAAUAGGGGAGCCAAAUAAGCUAAUCUUUAUCCAUAUCUGAGAUGGCCUGGGUGACCUUACAUGGAAUGAACCAGCCACUGUCAGUGAUUGCAACUUGGACCAGCAGUUGGGCCAUCUAGUCUCCACAAGUCACCUAAUGGUGUAUACUUUUUAUACCACUGUCCCUCUUCCCUACCCAGUUCUACUUGUGGAAGGUGUGGAGGUAGAGUGAUUGUUGGUGAGGUACUGAAGAAUAAAAGGAAGACACUUUCCGCUCUGAACUCAAAAAAACUUGUGCUGAACAUUCAGGAGACGAAGGUGGCAUGCUGCCUUUCCAAUCCAAUUGGCCAUGGUACGAGCUAAUGACCUUCCUGACUGAUGUAAUGACGCCACGUAAGACGAAGACUAAUAUUCAUCACAGUAAAAGAACAGCAUCGCAACACGACGACGCACACAAUGACGUACCAUUUACCAUUUACACCAGCUCUUACAGAGAGAGAGUGUGUUUCACCUGAUGAAACCAACCAAGCCAGCUCUUCAAGACCGUCUGUAAGUUCAGAGGGUAGCGUUUCGAUGCCUCCUCCCUCAUCCACCUACACACAAACCAAAACAAGAGAUCCAAGAAAUCAACAAACUCUUGAGUUGCUAAAUAUAGAGAAGCAAAAGUUGAAGUUAAUUGAGCAACAAAUGUCAAAAUCAGAAAUGCAAGAUGACAGCUAUCAUUUUGUAGUGAUUUUGCUGCCAGCAAUGUGAAAACUAUCACCAGUAGCUCAGUUGAGAGCCAGGAUAAAAAUCCAGCAGGGUUUUUUGGAAGAAUUGGAACAAUCAACCACUUCCACUGCACAUUCGUUGAUGUCACCCUAUGCCCCUGAAAAUCCAGUUGAAAUUGUAAUUGCUGGAAAUCUGCAAAAUGAUAUAGUCAUUUCUGAAAUUCAACCUGAUGACUUUGUUGUUUUAAGCCACCAAGAUUCUGAAAACUUUGAUACUUAAGUGAGUGAACUGUGAUGAAUUUU